Molecule: ribosomal RNA, 322 nt
Filed under: uncultured Chloroflexota bacterium
Lineage: Bacteria; Bacillati; Chloroflexota
Description: bacterial SSU rRNA
Rfam family: Bacterial small subunit ribosomal RNA
Source: RNAcentral
GAUGAACGCUGGCGGCGUGCUUAAUACAUGCAAGUCGAACGGAGUAUAUAGCAAUAUAUACUUAGUGGCGAACGGGUGAGUAACGCGUUGGUGACCUGCCCCGAAGAGGGGGAUAACAGUUCGAAAGGACUGCUAAUACCCCAUGAGGUCUCUGAAGUUAGAGGUUUGGAGACGAAAGGAGCAAUCCGCUUUGGGAGGGGCCUGCGUCCCAUCAGCUAGUUGGUAAGGUAAAAGCUUACCAAGGCGAAGACGGGUAGGGGGCCUGAGAGGGUGACCCCCCACACUGGCACUGAAACACGGGCCAGACACCUACGGGAGGCUG